Trichobilharzia regenti is the source of this 45-nucleotide non-coding RNA. Lineage: Eukaryota; Metazoa; Platyhelminthes; Trematoda; Strigeidida; Schistosomatidae. The record is from Rfam.
AUCCAGGUGACGAGUCCAAAAUGGGACGAAAUGCGCAUCCUGGAU